This 253-nucleotide ribosomal RNA is filed under the name uncultured prokaryote. RNAcentral's name for it is "partial 16S ribosomal RNA". It matches the Rfam family "Bacterial small subunit ribosomal RNA", at positions 524 to 776 of the family's 1533-position model. The record is from RNAcentral.
GACAGAGGCCUCGAGCGUUAGGCGGAAUCACUGGGCUUAAAGCGUGUGUAGGCGGAUCGUUAAGUGCCUUGUGAAAUCCCACGGCUUAACUGUGGAACGGCUGGGCAUACUGGCGGUCUUGAGCCAUCUAGGGGCGACUGGAACAAACGGUGGAGCGGUGAAAUGCGUAGAUAUCUGGAGGAACACCGGUGGCGAAGGCGGCAUUCUGGACCGACAUUGACGCUGAGGAGCGAAAGCCAGGGGAGCAAACGGG